UACGUAGGGCGCAAGCGUUGUCCGGAAUUAUUGGGCGUAAAGAGCUCGUAGGCGGUCUGUCACGUCUGCCGUGAAAACCCGAGGCUUAACCUCGUGGCUUGCGGUGGAUACGGGCAGACUAGAGGUAGGUAGGGGAGAACGGAAUUCCCAGUGUAGCGGUGAAAUGCGUAGAGAUUGGGAAGAACACCGGUGGCGAAAGCGCUCUACUGGACCGUAACUGACACUGAGGGACGAAAGCUAGGGGAGCGAAAGGG
Molecule: ribosomal RNA, 254 nt
Filed under: uncultured bacterium
Lineage: Bacteria
Description: partial 16S ribosomal RNA
Rfam family: Bacterial small subunit ribosomal RNA
Source: RNAcentral